RNAcentral lists this long non-coding RNA (944 nucleotides) under Sus scrofa (pig). Its description in RNAcentral is "lncRNA (ENSSSCG00055020508.1)". Lineage: Eukaryota; Metazoa; Chordata; Mammalia; Artiodactyla; Suidae. The record is from RNAcentral.
GACGAGUGGGAAAUGAAACACAGAUGGGUCAGAUGGGUAAGGAGAGGGGGAUUACAGGUCAGGCCAAAGAGUUGGAAUAAAUUAAGUGCUUAUGAGGUACAGAAUGGCACAUUGUUUAAGUGAAUGGACAGGGAAAAAACAUUCCAGCAUUGUUCAUCCGCUGAGGGAGCCCAACGCUCCUCUUCCCAGACGAGCCCAGGCCACAGAGCGCCUCCUCCUCGCCAGGAUGUUUGUGACCCACAGACUGAAAACGCGGCCAGGCGGUGCCCGAAACAUUAUCCUAGCCUCCAAAGAGGCCAGUUUGGCUUUAUUACACGGGAGAUGUAAUUUAUUGGGAGAAAUGUUUGGGUUCGUGUGUCGGAUGGUGGAGAGUCAGAUUUGGAGUUCCCUGGGGAUCUCCGAGGAGAAGAAGCAGAUGUUCACAAAGCAACUGACCAGGCCAGGUGUGUCCUUCAAGGCUACCUGCAUUCAACAGAGGCGACCACAGCCCAGACCCAUCCUUCUUGGGAGAAUUUCAAGAUGCUCCACAUAGUGGUGCCUAGCGCUCUGUGCACUCAGAGGCUAGAAGAAAAGAUACAGAGGUCCUCUUUCAAGGAGAGGCCCUGAUGUUUCUAUUCUUACAAGGAUUCUUUGGUAAUAAAUACAGUGAAAACACCGUCACCGUGGAGAUAAUACUUAAUGCUCAAGAGGUACGUAGCAGAGAUUGCAUUCCAAUCAAGGACUUCCGUAACCCUGUCUACCAAGCCAGUAUCACCUGUAGGCCAGUUCACCUCCAUCCAGUCACUUUACAGCACUUGAGUGUUUGCUGUCCGCUCAAUUAAAAUCCUACUCUGGUGGGAAAAACCAGAUUUCCAAAUGGGGACUUUAUUGAUUCAAUAAAAUUUAAGAAAUUCUGCUUAUGGAAAAACUCAUUAACCCAAACUAAUAAAUACGAGUUUACCCUG